UGGAGCCUUAGCUUAUCACUUGAGAUUCC
This 29-nucleotide non-coding RNA is filed under the name Rattus norvegicus (Norway rat). Lineage: Eukaryota; Metazoa; Chordata; Mammalia; Rodentia; Muridae. The record is from RNAcentral.